RNAcentral lists this ribosomal RNA (548 nucleotides) under uncultured bacterium. RNAcentral's name for it is "partial 16S ribosomal RNA". It matches the Rfam family "Bacterial small subunit ribosomal RNA", at positions 356 to 896 of the family's 1533-position model. The record is from RNAcentral.
UGGGAAUUUUGGACAAUGGGCGCAAGCCUGAUCCAGCCAUGCCGCGUGCGGGAAGAAGGCCUUCGGGUUGUAAACCGCUUUUGUCAGGGAAGAAAUCUUCUGAGUUAAUACCUCGGGAGGAUGACGGUACCUGAAGAAUAAGCACCGGCUAACUACGUGCCAGCAGCCGCGGUAAUACGUAGGGUGCAAGCGUUAAUCGGAAUUACUGGGCGUAAAGCGUGCGCAGGCGGUUUUGUAAGACAGAGGUGAAAUCCCCGGGCUCGACCUGGGAACUGCCUUUGUGACUGCAAGGCUUGAGUGCGGCAGAGGGGGAUGGAAUUCCGCGUGUAGCAGUGAAAUGCGUAGAUAUGCGGAGGAACACCGAUGGCGAAGGCAAUCCCUGGGCCUGCACUGACGCUCAUGCACGAAAAGCGUGGGGAGCAAACAGGAUUAGAUACCCUGGUAGUCCACGCCCUAAACGAUGUCAACUGGUUGUUGGGAAGGUUCCUUCUCAGUAACGUAGCUAACGCGUGAAAGUUGACCGCCUGGGGAGUACGGCCGCAAGGUUG